AUGAACGCUGACAGAAUGCUUAACACAUGCAAGUCGCUGGGGAAGUGGUGCUUGCACCAUGGCAACCAUGGCGGACGGGUGAGUAACGCGUAAGGGACUUACCUGCAGGACUGGGAUAACAGGGGGAAACUCCUGACAAGACCGGAUAAUGUCAUGGAGCUGCAUGGCUUUAUGAUGAAAGGAGACGCCUGCGGAGAGCCUUGCGUCCUAUUAGCUAGUUGGUGAGGUAAUGGCUCACCAAGGCGAAGAUAGGUAGCCGGCCUGAGAGGGUGGACGGCCACAAGGGGACUGAGAUACGGCCCUUACUCCUACGGGAGGCAGCAGUGGGGAAUAUUGGACAAUGGGGGCAACCCUGAUCCAGCAAUUCUGUGUGCAUGAAGAAGGUUUUCGGAUUGUAAAGUGCUUUCAGCAGGGAAGAAGUAAGUGACGGUACCUGCAGAAGAAGCGACGGCUAAAUACGUG
Molecule: ribosomal RNA, 462 nt
Filed under: uncultured bacterium
Lineage: Bacteria
Description: partial 16S ribosomal RNA
Rfam family: Bacterial small subunit ribosomal RNA
Source: RNAcentral